UACGGGGGGAGCAAGCGUUGUUCGGAUUUACUGGGCGUAAAGGGCGCGUAGGCGGCCAGCACAAGUCAGUUGUGAAAUCUCCGAGCUUAACUCGGAAAGGUCAGCUGAUACUGUGCGGCUAGAGUGCAGAAGGGGCAACUGGAAUUCUUGGUGUAGCGGUGAAAUGCGUAGAUAUCAAGAGGAACACCUGCGGCGAAGGCGGGUUGCUGGGCUGACACUGACGCUGAGGCGCGAAAGCUAGGGGAGCGAACGGG
RNAcentral lists this ribosomal RNA (254 nucleotides) under uncultured bacterium. RNAcentral describes it as "partial 16S ribosomal RNA". It matches the Rfam family "Bacterial small subunit ribosomal RNA", at positions 524 to 776 of the family's 1533-position model. The record is from RNAcentral.